GAUGAACGCUGGCGGCGUGCCUAACACAUGCAAGUCGAACGGAGAUUACGGACGGAAGUUUUCGGAUGGAAGCCUGUAAUUCUUAGUGGCGGACGGGUGAGUAACGCGUGGGCAACCUGCCCUAUACAGGGGGAUAGCAGCUGGAAACGGCUGGUAAGACCGCAUAAGUCGGUUAAAUCGCAUGAUUUGAUCGGGAAAUGAGCAAUCAGGUAUAGGAUGGGCCCGCGUCCGAUUAGCCAGUUGGCAGGGUAAAAGCCUACCAAAGCGACGAUCGGUAGCUGGACUGAGAGGUCGGACGGCCACAUUGGGACUGAGACACGGCCCAAACUCCUACGGGAGGCAGCAGUGGGGGAUAUUGCACAAUGGAGGAAACUCUGAUGCAGCGACGCCGCGUGAGUGAAGAAGUAUUUCGGUAUGUAAAGCUCUAUCAGCAGGGAAGAUGAUGACGGUACCUGACUAAGAAGCCCCGGCUAACUACGUGCCAGCAGCCGCGGUAAUACGUAGGGGGCGAGCGUUGUCCGGAAUUAUUGGGCGUAAAGAGUGCGUAGGCGGCAAAUUAAGUCAGAUGUGAAAACUAAGGGCUCAACCCAUAGAUUGCAUCUGAAACUGAUAUGCUUGAGUCAAGGAGAGGAAAGUGGAAUUCCUAGUGUAGCGGUGGAAUGCGUAGAUAUUAGGAGGAAUACCGGUGGCGAAGGCGACUUUCUGGACUUGAACUGACGCUGAGGCACGAAAGCGUGGGGAGCAAACAGG
RNAcentral lists this ribosomal RNA (750 nucleotides) under uncultured Catonella sp. RNAcentral's name for it is "bacterial SSU rRNA". It matches the Rfam family "Bacterial small subunit ribosomal RNA", at positions 28 to 776 of the family's 1533-position model. Lineage: Bacteria; Bacillati; Bacillota; Clostridia; Lachnospirales; Lachnospiraceae. The record is from RNAcentral.